Molecule: ribosomal RNA, 493 nt
Filed under: uncultured bacterium
Lineage: Bacteria
Description: partial 16S ribosomal RNA
Rfam family: Bacterial small subunit ribosomal RNA
Source: RNAcentral
AUUGAACGCUGGCGGCAUGCUUUACACAUGCAAGUCGAACGGUAACAGGUUAAGCUGACGAGUGGCGAACGGGUGCGUAAUGCAUCGGAACUUGCCCGACCGUGGGGGAUAACGCAGCGAAAGCUGCGCUAAUACCGCAUACGAUCUCAGGAUGAAGACGGCGGACCAGAACGCCCCGCGAGAUCGGAGGGGCCCAUGACAGAUUAGGUAGUUGGUGGUGUAAAGGCUGACCAAGCCAACUAUCUGUAGCUGGUCUGAGAGCACGACCAGCCACGCUGGGACUGAGACACGGCCCAGACUCCUACGGGAGGCAGCAGUGGGGGAUUUUGGACAAUGGGCGAAAGCCUGAUCCAGCAAUGCCGCGUGCAGGAAGAAGGCCUUCGGGUUGUAAACUGCUUUUGUACGGAGCGAAAAGGCUCUCUCUAAUACAGGGGGCUCAUGACGGUACCGUAAGAAUAAGCACCGGCUAACUACGUGCCAGCCGCCGCCGUAA